Molecule: long non-coding RNA, 1710 nt
Organism: Aethalodelphis obliquidens (Pacific white-sided dolphin)
Lineage: Eukaryota; Metazoa; Chordata; Mammalia; Artiodactyla; Delphinidae
Exons: 4
Source: RefSeq, a predicted model, not a curated record
CUUACCCUUUAUCUGAGAUACCGGCGGAUUUCGCCAGCCUCCUCGAAUUCUUACCUUUUGUCCUGCGUUACACGCCGGGGAAAGGAAUUCUGGGAUCGUGUGUUAUGCUGAUCCAAAAUGUUUUUAAGAAAUAAAGAAGUUGUAAAACAAUGGAUACAAGUAUAUAUUUAUAAUACAAGAAAUGACGAUUCUGAAAAAGAAGCUGAUGACCAGAACAAGGGAUAGGAAGAUGACCUGUUUGCUUGAAGAGCGAGACCAGAGAGCAAGGAGCGGAGUGACUUGAUCCUUGAGGGUGCCUUUGGCUCCAGGGGGAAGCUGACUCUUCCGGAGAAUCUUGGAGCCGACAACUAAGGAACUCAGCACCCAGCUAACUUCCAGGAGGAAGCUUCCUUUCCUCCUCCUGCUUUCCCCCUUUCCCCUCCUUUCUCUCUCUGCAGCCAUCAGAAAUAAACUCUGGCUCAUUUCAUCUGAAAUAGGCUUUAUUCCAGGGAUAGUAAUAGCGCAGAGAAUCUCUGAAAAAGAUCUCUAGAAAAAUCUCUAGAAAAGAUAAGGAAACAGAUUAUCCCCUAGAGCCUCCAGAAGGUAAGGCAGCCCUAUUGACCCCUUGAUUUUAGUCCAGUGAGACCUUUGUUGGACUCCUAACCUACAGAACUGUAAUAUAAUAAAUGUGUGUUCUUUUAAGCCACUAAACUCAUGGUCACUUAUUACAGCAGACAUAGAACACCAAUUCAAUAAGUGUCUAGCACAUUCACCUUAGCAGUAAUAAGAUGGGGGACAUAAUGAACCCUAUAUAAAUCUGCAGGUCGUCUGUCUGUCCUAGGUUGACAGGUCAAGAGAUACUGGUACAUGUUUAAAGCAUUACAUUAGGUAUGUUUUUUCCUUUCCGUUUUUUCCCUAAAGGACUCUCGCCCUAUUUCCUGCACAGGGGUACCCAACAUGGUUCUCACUGGAAUUACAGCAAAUUGGAAGACAGUGGUGGUGACACAGGGUGAAGAGCUACUUUUCAAAGGGUGAGACACAAGAAUGGCUUUUAGGAAUUUUCCCCCAAAGUAAUCUGUGACUGGAUCCUGUUGCCGAAACUUGGCCUCUGUUCACCGGUGCCGAAGAGAAAUGCGGAAACAGAGUUUUGGGUGAAGCAGAAAAGAGUAGCUUUUAUUGCUUUGCCAGGCAGAGGGGGCCACAGCGGGCUAAUGCCCUCAAGACUGUGUGACCCACCCUGGAGGGCAUAGUGAGGAGCCUUACAGCGUUGGAGGAGCAGGGCGUGAUCAGCUCGCAGACAGUUCUCGGAUUGGCUGGCAUCAAAGUGAAGUUUCAAGCGUCAUCAACCUUCUGGUUUCAACCAGUCCAGGGUCUAUGUGCUUGUGGGCGGCGCUUUCCAUCUGGAGGGGGUCUGCGCCCUGUAAAACCACUUAGGAGUGUGUGUCGGGCCUUCAUCGGUAGCUUCAGUGAACUGGGAGUUCGAUGAUUCUGCCGUGUGGCGGAUUUAUAGUCUACAUUGCUGCCCGUUCCCCAGCCCAACAGCUGUUCUUUGUUUCUACACCUUCACAUUCCCGAAUCACUAACUCUUGAGUCAGCACUUUACUUCAAAAGACAAGGGCACGGGGCCUCGUACACGGUUUCAAUCCUGACCAGCUCUGAGAUUUACACGAUGCAUAUGCUGUUGUUUUCAUAAAUGUUAACGUCCGUAAAAUGAAGUUCUUAGAAGCAUUA